UUUUAGCCGAUUACAAACAAACCAUCCUUUUGGUACGAAACUCCUCGUCGACGAUCGGGUAACUACGUGAAACGACUCGAUUAACCCGGGCCAGAUCGCAUCAUUUGGUAUCAGAGCUUGCAAAACAAGGAGCACCGACGUUCGUAGCUUUCUCGAAAGAUAGGUUUGUAAAAAAAAGUUUCAAAAAAAAUCAAAAAAAAAUCUCGAGUUGUAAUUUUAUUUUAUUUUCUCUUUUCUUUAUUGUAUUUGGCUUACUAUUGUAUUGGAUUAAAAAAAAAAAGAAAGAAAAUUGAAAAAAAAUUCAAAAAAAAGUGAAAAAAAUCGAACAAAAAAAAAGAGAGAGAAAGAAAAAAAUUGAAAAAAAAUUGAAAAAAAAGAAGAAGAGGAUUUCGUGAAUUUUGAAGAUAUUUUGGUAUUAUUCAAUUGUAUUUGAAGUGAAAAAAAAUCGAAGUAUAAAAAAAAAAGAAGUGAAAAGUCUUGUGAGUUUUAUUUUGUUAUUAUUUCUUGUUACCUCUGAGCAUCCAUUCCUUUUACCCCAAAAAAAAAAUGCCACACAUACUUUGAUUUUUUAUUUUUCCUUAUUUCAGCCUACCCUAUACACCCUAACGUUAUCCUUUGCACCCAUUUGAAGCCG
RNAcentral lists this long non-coding RNA (634 nucleotides) under Gossypium raimondii (Peruvian cotton). RNAcentral describes it as "long non-coding RNA (GRAI_LNC009287)". Lineage: Eukaryota; Viridiplantae; Streptophyta; Magnoliopsida; Malvales; Malvaceae. The record is from RNAcentral.